UGGAAAGGAAGAACAAAGGAAGAAGCAGC
Molecule: non-coding RNA, 29 nt
Filed under: Homo sapiens (human)
Lineage: Eukaryota; Metazoa; Chordata; Mammalia; Primates; Hominidae
Source: RNAcentral